Molecule: long non-coding RNA, 271 nt
Organism: Tyto alba (common barn owl)
Lineage: Eukaryota; Metazoa; Chordata; Aves; Strigiformes; Tytonidae
Exons: 3
Source: RefSeq, a predicted model, not a curated record
GGGAGGAAGAAAGAAUUGCACGGCCCUGGACCUGUGAGUGAAGAGUUAGCUUCAGCUAGCAAGCCUGAUAUACCUGAGCGAGGGGACGACAGCACAGAGGCUUCUGCCAGUAACACUGAGCACCUGACUGGUUAGAGGAGCAAGUGGACAAGCAGAUCCUGGGGCACAGCACAGGGAGAGCACCGAUUCCCCAAGAAAAUGCCAUUGUGCACCAUAGGGGGUACACUCUGCAACUUUCAAGCCCGCUUGUGCCUUAGCUCACACCUACGAC